AACGAACGCUGGCGGCGCGUCUUAAACAUGCAAGUCGAACGUGAACCCUAGUGCUUGCAUUGGGGGGAAAGUGGCGAACGGGUGAGUAACACGUGGAUAAUCUACCUCCGGGUUGGGGAUAACCGGCCGAAAGGUUGGCUAAUACCGAAUAAGAUGAUAGUUACCUAGGUAGCAGUCAUUAAAGGUGGGGACCUUCGGGCCCACUGCCGGGAGAUGAGUCCGCGGCCCAUUAGCUAGUUGGUGGGGUAACGGCCUACCAAGGCGACGAUGGGUAGCCGGCCUGAGAGGGUGUACGGCCACAUUGGGACUGAGACACGGCCCAGACUCCUACGGGAGGCUG
Molecule: ribosomal RNA, 340 nt
Filed under: uncultured Spirochaetota bacterium
Lineage: Bacteria; Pseudomonadati; Spirochaetota
Description: bacterial SSU rRNA
Rfam family: Bacterial small subunit ribosomal RNA
Source: RNAcentral